UUCUGCCUGAGAGUGAGAUCCCAUAUUCAUCCUUCUGUUUCUGACUUAUUUCACUUAACAUGAUUUCUUCAAGCUCUAUCCAAGAUAAACUGAAAACAGUGAAGUCACUGUUUUUAAUAGCUGAGUAGUAUUCCAUUGUGUAUAUAUACCACAACUUGCUCAGCCACUCAUCUGUUGUUGGACACCUGGGCUGCUUCCAGGUUUUGGCUAUUACAAAUUAUGCUGCUAAGAAAUAGGUAUACACAAAUCUUUUUGGAUGGUUGUGUUUGGUUCCUUAGGCUAUAUCCCCAGGAGAGAAAUUGCAGGAUCAUAGGGUUUCAUGGAAAUGUUCAACUGACUGAGGAAGAUUGUACUUUGUUCCAUAAAACACAGGAAAGAGUAAAGAAACACAUGGGAAGAUAUUGGCUUCUGUUGACAAGACAAGUACUGACUGGACUAGGAAUGCUGAGCUGAAACAAACUCUCCAAACACUGGAAGUAAAGCUCCAGGCCCAACAAUCCCUGUCUUUUGGGUCUAACUUGACAGAAACUAAAACUAACUACUGUGUUCAAUUUUCACAAAAAAAUGUCUGCUAGAAGUUGAUAUGACUGGCAAUCUGGAGGUUCAAGCUCAACAAACUAGAACUCAAGCAAAGAACCAGAACAACUGUGAAUAGAAACUGUUCCUGAGCAUGAAGACUGGAGGGAUGAAAGAGAUUGAAAACUACCAUAAACUAAUCAAUGAAAAGUCUAGGGAAUAUGGUGAAAUAAAUAACCCGCUAAAACCUCUAGCCUUCUAGUAAACACUCAGUUCCUA
Molecule: long non-coding RNA, 795 nt
Organism: Erinaceus europaeus (western European hedgehog)
Lineage: Eukaryota; Metazoa; Chordata; Mammalia; Eulipotyphla; Erinaceidae
Exons: 4
Source: RefSeq, a predicted model, not a curated record